AACGAACGCUGGCGGCAUGCCUAACACAUGCAAGUCGAACGAGACCUUCGGGUCUAGUGGCGCACGGGUGCGUAACGCGUGGGAACCUGCCCUUAGGUUCUGAAUAACUCCCCGAAAGGGGUGCUAAUACCGGAUAAUGUCUUCGGACCAAAGAUUUAUCGCCUUUGGAUGGGCCCGCGUUGGAUUAGCUAGUUGGUAGGGUAAAAGCCUACCAAGGCGACGAUCCAUAGCUGGUCUGAGAGGAUGAUCAGCCACACUGGGACUGAGACACGGCCCAGACUCCUACGGGAGGCAGCAGUGGGGAAUAUUGGACAAUGGGCGAAAGCCUGAUCCAGCAAGGCCGCGUGAGUGAUGAAGGCCUUAGGGUUGUAAAGCUCUUUUACCCGGGAUGAUAAUGACAGUACCGGGAGAAUAAGCUCCGGCUAACUCCGUG
RNAcentral lists this ribosomal RNA (433 nucleotides) under uncultured bacterium. Its description in RNAcentral is "partial 16S ribosomal RNA". It matches the Rfam family "Bacterial small subunit ribosomal RNA", at positions 29 to 507 of the family's 1533-position model. The record is from RNAcentral.